RNAcentral lists this small RNA (30 nucleotides) under Bombyx mori (domestic silkworm). Its description in RNAcentral is "ovarian small RNA-30361". The record is from RNAcentral. Lineage: Eukaryota; Metazoa; Arthropoda; Insecta; Lepidoptera; Bombycidae.
UGAAAAUCCCCUUUACUGCGUUCCCAGUGA